RNAcentral lists this transfer RNA (68 nucleotides) under Oxyodes scrobiculata. RNAcentral describes it as "tRNA-His". Lineage: Eukaryota; Metazoa; Arthropoda; Insecta; Lepidoptera; Erebidae. The record is from RNAcentral.
AUUUAAAUAAUUUAAUUAAAAUAUUGAUUUGUGGUAUCAAAUAUGUGAAUAAAAUUUCAUUUUAAAUU